AGAUACCAGCUGGCUGCAACUGUUUAUUAAAAACACAGCACUGUGCAAACACGAAAGUGGACGUAUACGGUGUGACGCCUGCCCGGUGCCGGAAGGUUAAUUGAUGGGGUUAUCCGUAAGGAGAAGCUCUUGAUCGAAGCCCCGGUAAACGGCGGCCGUAACUAUAACGGUCCUAAGGUAGCGAAAUUCCUUGUCGGGUAAGUUCCGACCUGCACGAAUGGCGUAAUGAUGGCCAGGCUGUCUCCACCCGAGACUCAGUGAAAUUGAACUCGCUGUGAAGAUGCAGUGUACCCGCGGCAAGACGGAAAGACCCCGUGAACCUUUACUAUAGCUUGACACUGAACACUGGUCCUUGAUGUGUAGGAUAGGUGGGAGGCUUUGAAGUGUGGACGCCAGUCUGCAUGGAGCCAUCCUUGAAAUACCACCCUUUAAUGGCUGGUGUUCUAACGUGGACCCGUUACCCGGGUUGCGGACAGUGUCUGGUGGGUAGUUUGACUGGGGCGGUCUCCUCCUAAAGAGUAACGGAGGAGCACGAAGGUUAGCUAAUCCUGGUCGGACAUCAGGAGGUUAGUGCAAAGGCAUAAGCUAGCUUGACUGCGAGAGUGACGGCUCGAGCAGGUGCGAAAGCAGGUCUUAGUGAUCCGGUGGUUCUGAAUGGAAGGGCCAUCGCUCAACGGAUAAAAGGUACUCCGGGGAUAACAGGCUGAUACCGCCCAAGAGUUCAUAUCGACGGCGGUGUUUGGCACCUCGAUGUCGGCUCAUCACAUCCUGGGGCUGAAGUAGGUCCCAAGGGUAUGGCUGUUCGCCAUUUAAAGUGGUACGCGAGCUGGGUUUAGAACGUCGUGAGACAGUUCGGUCCCUAUCUGCCGUGGGCGCUGGAGAAUUGAGGGGGGCUGCUCCUAGUACGAGAGGACCGGAGUGGACGCAUCACUGGUGUUCGGGUUGUCAUGCCAAUGGCAUUGCCCGGUAGCUAAAUGCGGAAGAGAUAAGUGCUGAAAGCAUCUAAGCACGAAACUUGC
This 1019-nucleotide ribosomal RNA is filed under the name Citrobacter freundii. RNAcentral describes it as "partial 23S ribosomal RNA". It matches the Rfam family "Bacterial large subunit ribosomal RNA", at positions 1781 to 2797 of the family's 2925-position model. Lineage: Bacteria; Pseudomonadati; Pseudomonadota; Gammaproteobacteria; Enterobacterales; Enterobacteriaceae. The record is from RNAcentral.